Small nucleolar RNA from Rhea pennata, 139 nucleotides. RefSeq annotates it as small nucleolar RNA SNORA75. The transcript has a single exon. Lineage: Eukaryota; Metazoa; Chordata; Aves; Rheiformes; Rheidae. The record is from RefSeq and is a predicted model, not a curated record.
GUCUUCUCAAUGAGCUCCUUCCUGCCAACAAAUCCAUGGCAGCCUAUGGAUUCGCACGAGAAGAAUAUUAACUGUUCAGUAUUGGCAAAUUCACACUGUGGCUCCAUCGACUGUGAUUAGCCGCUGCUGUUCAACAAGU